CAUCAAACAAGAUUGCUGCUGCUGAGUUUGACUGAAGAAGAGUGCUGCAGUUGUGCUUGCUGAUGCCCCAACUCUCAACUCCAUCUUCAGGACAGAAAUAUGCAGGCACUCCCGUGGGAAUUUCAUGAAUCUCCACUAUCAUGACUUUGCCUUGACAGAAGACCCUUUGGGCCCUCCCGUGGGAUACAGCUCUGGGCAUCUGAUGGUCUUUUGUGACCUUACCAUUGAAAGGACAAACAACUUUGCUAACCACCCUGAAAUAAAACAAUAUGCUCACAAAUACAUACUUUUUAAAGCACACUAUGCAGAAGUUUUCUAAAACCGCAUGCUCAUGUCCUGUGUUCCAAGCAAAAUGGGCUUUAGUAUCAGGAAAUAGCAGUGCAAGUAACAAUUUCUCAACAGAAGAUUUG
Molecule: long non-coding RNA, 410 nt
Filed under: Gallus gallus (chicken)
Lineage: Eukaryota; Metazoa; Chordata; Aves; Galliformes; Phasianidae
Source: RNAcentral